AGGUCAUUUUGUGGGAAAUUCCUAAUUAGACCCUUGUAGCGCUCCUAUGCGUCGUAUAGCGGCUCUCCCAUUUCCUAUUCAAAAUUUGCAAUGGACUUUUUGAGUUU
Molecule: small nucleolar RNA, 107 nt
Organism: Lactuca sativa (garden lettuce)
Lineage: Eukaryota; Viridiplantae; Streptophyta; Magnoliopsida; Asterales; Asteraceae
Source: RefSeq, a predicted model, not a curated record